RNAcentral lists this ribosomal RNA (253 nucleotides) under uncultured bacterium. RNAcentral describes it as "partial 16S ribosomal RNA". It matches the Rfam family "Bacterial small subunit ribosomal RNA", at positions 524 to 776 of the family's 1533-position model. The record is from RNAcentral.
GACGAACCGUGCAAACGUUAUUCGGAAUCACUGGGCAUAAAGGGCGCGUAGGCGGCUUGACAAGUCAGGGGUGAAAUCCGGCAGCUUAACUGUCGCAGUGCCUUUGAUACUGUCGAGCUCGAGGGAGGUAGGGGUCUGUGGAACUUCCGGUGGAGCGGUGAAAUGCGUUGAUAUCGGAAGGAACGCCGGUGGCGAAAGCGACGGACUGGAUCUCUUCUGACGCUGAGGCGCGAAAGCCAGGGGAGCAAACGGG